AUUGAACGCUGGCGGCGUGCCUAACACAUGCAAGUCGAGCGGUAACAGGUGUAGCAAUACAUGCUGACGAGCGGCGAACGGGUGAGUAAUGCUUUGGAAUCUUCCCAGUAGUGGGGAAUAACCAGUCGAAAGAUUGGCUAAUACCGCAUACGUCUGUAAAGGGAAAGCGGGGGACUCGCCUCUUCUUCGGAAGAGAGGCCUUGCGCUAUUGGAUGAGCCAAAGCGGAUUAGCUAGUUGGUGGGGUAAUGGCCUACCAAGGCGACAAUCCGUAGCUGGUCUGAGAGGACGACCAGCCACACCGGAACUGAGACACGGUCCGGACUCCUACGGGAGGCAGCAGUGGGAAUAUUGGACAAUGGGGAAACCCUGAUCCAGCGACGCCGCGUGUGUGAAGAAGGCCUGCGGGUUGUAAAGC
RNAcentral lists this ribosomal RNA (416 nucleotides) under uncultured bacterium. Its description in RNAcentral is "bacterial SSU rRNA". It matches the Rfam family "Bacterial small subunit ribosomal RNA", at positions 30 to 431 of the family's 1533-position model. The record is from RNAcentral.